CCCUUAGAUGUCCUGGGCUGCACGCGUGCUACAAUGAUACGUGCAACGAGUUAAUCCUGCUCUGAAAGGAGUGGGUAAUCUUAUGAAUGCGUAUCGUGCUUGGGAUUGACCAUUGUAAUUAUUGGUCAUGAACGAGGAAUUCCUAGUAAGCACAAGUCAUCAGCUUGUGCUGAUUACGUCCCUGCCCUUUGUACACACCGCCCGUCGCUCCUACCGAUUGAGUGUUCCGGUGAAUUAUUCGGACUGCAACAGUUAUCUGUCGCGGAAAGUCUUGUGAACCUUAACACUUAGAGGAAGGAGAAGUCGUAACA
Molecule: ribosomal RNA, 311 nt
Filed under: uncultured eukaryote
Lineage: Eukaryota
Description: partial 18S ribosomal RNA
Rfam family: Eukaryotic small subunit ribosomal RNA
Source: RNAcentral